GUAGCAAUACGAAAGUAUCCUAGUGGCGAACGGUGAGUAAACGCGUUGGUGACCUACCCCAAAGUGUGGGAUAACAGUUCGAAAGAACUGCUAAUACCGCAUGUGGUUAUCGGAUUUAGAAACUGAUAACUAAAGGAGCAAUUCGCUUUGGAGGGACCUGCGUCCCAUCAGCUAGUUGGUGAGGUAAAUGGCUCACCAAGGCUACGACGGGUAGGGGACCUGAGAGGGUGACCCCCCCACAAUGGAACUGAAACACGGUCCAUACACCUACGGGUGGCAGCAGUAGGGAAUAUUGCACAAUGGGCGAAAGCCUGAUGCAGCAACGCCGCGUGUGCGAUGAAGGCCCUCGGGUCGUAAAGCACUUUUCUGAGAGAUGAGCAAGGACAGUAUCUCAGGAAUAAGUCUCGGUCUAACUACGUGCCAGCAGCCGCGGUAAAACGUAGGAGGC
This 448-nucleotide ribosomal RNA is filed under the name uncultured bacterium. RNAcentral's name for it is "bacterial SSU rRNA". It matches the Rfam family "Bacterial small subunit ribosomal RNA", at positions 76 to 535 of the family's 1533-position model. The record is from RNAcentral.